UGUUUUACUGUGUAGUACGUACCAUCAUUACUUCAUGGCAGGACGCACAGGCAGAAGGUAUCAUACGAAACAGAACUAGCUCAUUUGGUCUUAAUUUUUUUGUCUGGUUGUAGUAUAUCCUUGGGGGCAGCUCUAGGAACAGUUAAGAAUAUUGACAGUCUCCAGUUAUCGGCGGACUCGGUUAUCAGUGAUCCGGUUUUGUGGGGCUCUUCUAGUGCCAUAAAAUCGGCGAUUUAUGGCGCCACAACGCUCCGAGUUCCGGUUAUCGGCGCCAAAAGGCGCUGAUAAUAGAGUUAUGGCGCCAUAACAGAUACCUAACAGAGUCGCCGGUAACCGGCUUAUUGUGCCAUAGUACUUCCCUGCGUUUCUGUUAGUGGCAGUUUUCGCUUAUCACCAACACCCUGCCGAGAACUUAACUCCGCCAAUAACUGUGGACUGCCUGUAUUGGCUAAUUGGUGUGGUUAAACCAUUUACUGUUAAUAAUCACCUUUUAAACUAUUUAUUAAUUAAUAUCUACUUGUUGAGAAAAUGAUCAAUAUUUUAAAAAAAUAUUUUCUGUGCAAACUGAAUAAAUAUUUUAACCAAUCUCAUUGAAAACCUAACUAAGGCUCGUUUUGUUUACAUUCCUCUCUCUCUGUCACCCUAGCUCUCAUGAGACAUCUUCAACACCGCAACGAUGAUAAGCAAUGUAUUGAAAGGAAAGUGGUGUUUUAUGAUAUUUGUGGAAAACUGCAGCGUGCAAAUGACGAAAUGCAGGAGUCUGUUGAGAACUUAGAAGUUCAAGUAGAGCACCUCCAAUCCCGGUUAAGGUCAUCACAAGCGUCCUCCCUACCACUCCGUACUGCCAAUCUUUUACAAGACUCAGACGAUGAUCAUGCACAGUUUUAGCGACGGCCUUUGAUGUAAUCGCCAAGAAGAGUAUGUUUAAAAAGUCUAAUGUUAAACGUUGAUUAUAUAGCAUAUUAUUUCAGUAUUCAUCAGAUUGAAAUGGAAGCCUUAAUGAAUUGUAAUUCAUGAAUUAUACCAAACGUUUUUUA
Long non-coding RNA from Macrobrachium nipponense, 1037 nucleotides. RefSeq lists it as uncharacterized. NCBI's taxonomy places the organism in Eukaryota, Metazoa, Arthropoda, Malacostraca, Decapoda, Palaemonidae. The transcript has 2 exons. The record is from RefSeq and is a predicted model, not a curated record.